This 433-nucleotide ribosomal RNA is filed under the name uncultured bacterium. RNAcentral describes it as "partial 16S ribosomal RNA". It matches the Rfam family "Bacterial small subunit ribosomal RNA", at positions 28 to 507 of the family's 1533-position model. The record is from RNAcentral.
GACGAACGCUGGCGGCAUGCCUAACACAUGCAAGUCGAACGAGGCCGUCGUGGCUAGUUGCGCACGGGUGCGUAGCGCGUGGGAGCCUGCCGUUGGGAUCCUAAUAUCUGCCCUAAAGGAAUUCUGAUACAGGGUAAUUUCUUCGAACCAAAGCUUUAUCGCCUUUGGAUGGGAGCGCGUUGGAUUAUCUAGUUGGUAGGGUAAAAGCCGACCAAGGCGACGAUCCAUAGCUGGUCAGAGAGGAUGAUCAGCCAGACUGAGACUGAGACACGGCACAGACGCAUACGGGAGGCAGCAGUGGGGAAUAUUCGAAAAUGGGCGAGAGCCUGAUGCAGCAAAGCCGUGUGAGUGAUGAAGGCCUGAGGGGUGUAAAGCUAUUUUACCCGGGAGGAUCAUGAUAGUACCGGGAGAAUAAGCCCCGGCUAACUACGUG